AGCUACUCCCAUGUCUCUUGAUCUCUUAACUGAGAUGUUGCUUGAUUGUGAGACACGACAACUAGAUCUUUUAACAGAAGCACCUUUGCAAGCAAAUAUGGUUUCUCGUUCAAAACAUGAUACUACUAACAAUUCGAAGCAUGUUGAGUCUUCAGGAAGUUAUCAGCGAGAGUAUAAACCUAGUUAUCAAGGUAGUGGUCAUGGCUAGUCUCG
RNAcentral lists this long non-coding RNA (213 nucleotides) under Gossypium barbadense (sea-island cotton). RNAcentral describes it as "long non-coding RNA (GBAR_LNC005168)". Lineage: Eukaryota; Viridiplantae; Streptophyta; Magnoliopsida; Malvales; Malvaceae. The record is from RNAcentral.